AUUUAAUUAGUUUAUUUAAAACAUUGAUUUGUGGUGUCAAAGAUAUUUAUAUUAUAUUAAAUU
This 63-nucleotide transfer RNA is filed under the name Schlettererius cinctipes. Its description in RNAcentral is "tRNA-His". The record is from RNAcentral. Lineage: Eukaryota; Metazoa; Arthropoda; Insecta; Hymenoptera; Stephanidae.